RNAcentral lists this ribosomal RNA (343 nucleotides) under uncultured bacterium. RNAcentral's name for it is "partial 16S ribosomal RNA". It matches the Rfam family "Bacterial small subunit ribosomal RNA", at positions 338 to 697 of the family's 1533-position model. The record is from RNAcentral.
CCUACGGGUGGCAGCAGUGGGGAAUAUUGCACAAUGGGCGAAACCCUGAUGCAGCAACGCCGCGUGAAGGAAGACGGUUUUCGGAUUGUAAACUUCUGUUCUUAGUGAAGAAUAAUGAAGGUAGCUAAGGAGCAAGCCACGGCUAACUACGUGCCAGCAGCCGCGGUAAUACGUAGGUGGCAAGCGUUGUCCGGAAUUACUGGGUGUAAAGGGAGCGCAGGCGGGAAGACAAGUCAGCUGUGAAAACUACGGGCUUAACUGGUAGACUGCAGUUGAUACUGGUUUUCUUGAGUGAAGUAGAGGUAGGCGGAAUGCCGGGUGUAGCGGUGAAAUGCGUAGAGAU